GGAGAGGUGGCCGAGUCCGGUUGAAGGCGCUCGACUCGAAAUCGAGUAGGUGGUGCUGAGCCGCCUCGUGGGUUCGAAUCCCACCCUCUCCG
Molecule: transfer RNA, 92 nt
Filed under: Thermacetogenium phaeum DSM 12270
Lineage: Bacteria; Bacillati; Bacillota; Clostridia; Thermoanaerobacterales; Thermoanaerobacteraceae
Rfam family: tRNA
About the family: Transfer RNA (tRNA) molecules are approximately 80 nucleotides in length.
Source: Rfam by way of RNAcentral